GAACCUGCGGAAGGAUCAUUAUCGUACAACCGAGGUGCGAGGGCUGUCGCUGACCUUCAGAGGGCGUGCGCGCCCGAGCGCUCUCACACAAUCCAUCUCACCCCUUGUGCAUCACCGCGUGGGUCCCCCUUUGCGGGAGGGCUCGCGUUUUUACAUAAAACUCGAUACAGUCUGGAAUGUUUAUUUUUGCGUUCACACGCAAUCAAUACAACUUUCAACAACGGAUCUCUUGGCUCUCGCAUCGAUGAAGAACGCAGCGAAAUGCGAUACGUAAUGUGAAUUGCAGAAUUCAGUGAAUCAUCGAAUCUUUGAACGCACCUUGCACCCCUUGGCAUUCCGAGGGGCACACCCGUUUGAGUGUCGUGAAAUUCUCAAAACCCUUUUCUUUGAUCGGAAUAGGACUUUUGGACUUGGAGGUUCAAUGCUCGCUUUCACCUUUGAAAGCGAGCUCCUCUCAAAUGAAUUAGUGGGGUCCGCUUUGCUGAUCCUUGACGUGAUAAGAUGUUUCUACGUUUUGGAUUUGGCACUGUUUUCUCCGCUCCUAACCGUCUUAUGGACAACGAUGGUGCUCCGGUCGCCGCCAUCUAUGGCGGGAGGCUGGACCCACAAAAAAAUCUUGACCUCAAAUCGGGUGAGACUACCCGCUGAACUUAAGCAUA
Molecule: ribosomal RNA, 659 nt
Filed under: uncultured Russula
Lineage: Eukaryota; Fungi; Basidiomycota; Agaricomycetes; Russulales; Russulaceae
Description: eukaryotic LSU rRNA
Rfam family: 5.8S ribosomal RNA (bases 210-363)
Source: RNAcentral